AGUGAAUAGAUACCCUGGUAGUCCCAGCCGUAAACGAUGCUCGCUAGGUGUCAGGCAUGGCGCGACCGUGUCUGGUGCCGCAGGGAAGCCGUGAAGCGAGCCACCUGGGAAGUACGGCCGCAAGGCUGAGACUUAAAGGAAUUGGCGGGGAGCACAACAAACGGGUGGAGCCUGCGGUUUAAUUUGGUACUCAACGCCGGACAACUCACCGGGGGCGGACAGCAAUAUGUAGGCCAGGCUGAAGACCUUGCCUGAAUCGCUGAGAGGAGGUGCAUGGCCGUCGCCAGUUCGUACUGUGAAGCAUCCUGUUUAAGUUCAGGCAACGAGCGAGACCCGUGCCCACUGUUACCAGCAUGUCCUCCGGGACGAUGGGUACUCUGUGGGGACCGCCGAUGUUAAAUCGGAGGAAGGUGCGGGCCACGGUAGGUCAGUAUGCCCCGGAAUCUCCCGGGGCUACACGCGGGCUACAAUGGAUGGGACAAUGGGUCCU
Molecule: ribosomal RNA, 490 nt
Filed under: uncultured bacterium
Lineage: Bacteria
Description: bacterial SSU rRNA
Rfam family: Archaeal small subunit ribosomal RNA
Source: RNAcentral